This 433-nucleotide ribosomal RNA is filed under the name uncultured bacterium. Its description in RNAcentral is "partial 16S ribosomal RNA". It matches the Rfam family "Bacterial small subunit ribosomal RNA", at positions 29 to 507 of the family's 1533-position model. The record is from RNAcentral.
AACGAACGCUGGCGGCAUGCCUAACACAUGCAAGUCGAACGAGACCUUCGGGUCUAGUGGCGCACGGGUGCGUAACGCGUGGGAACCUGCCCUUAUGGUCGGAAUAACUCCCCGAAAGGGGUGCUAAUACCGGAUAAUGUCUUCGGACCAAAGAUUUAUCGCCUUUGGAUGUGCCCGCGUUGGAUUAGCUCGUUGGUAGGGUAAAAGCCUACCAAGGCGACGAUCCAUAGCUGGUCUGAGAGGAUGAUCAGCCACACUGGGACUGAGACACGGCCCAGACUCCUACGGGAGGCAGCAGUGGGGAAUAUUGGACAAUGGGCGAAAGCCUGAUCCAGCAAUGCCGCGUGAGUGAUGAAGGCAUUAGGGUUGUAAAGCUCUUUUACCCGGGAUGAUAAUGACAGUACCGGGAGAAUAAGCUCCGGCUAACUCCGUG